RNAcentral lists this ribosomal RNA (113 nucleotides) under Acanthosepion pharaonis. Lineage: Eukaryota; Metazoa; Mollusca; Cephalopoda; Sepiida; Sepiidae. The record is from RNAcentral.
UUAUGACCAUACCACAUUGAAACACCAGUUCCUGUACAAUCACUGAAGUUAAGAAACGUUGAGCCUGGUCAGUAUCUAGAUGGAUGACCCCUUGGGAAUACCAGGUGCUGUAA